UGAGGAAUAUUGGUCAAUGGGCGCAAGCCUGAACCAGCCAUGCCGCGUGCAGGAAGACGGUCCUAUGGAUUGUAAACUGCUUUUAUUAGGGAAUAAACCUCUUUACGUGUAGAGAGCUGAAGGUACCUAAUGAAUAAGCACCGGCUAACUCCGUGCCAGCAGCCGCGGUAAUACGGAGGGUGCAAGCGUUAUCCGGAAUCAUUGGGUUUAAAGGGUCCGCAGGCGGAUUUAUAAGUCAGUGGUGAAAGCCCGUCGCUCAACGACGGAACUGCCAUUGAUACUGUAAGUCUUGAAUUCGGUCGAAGUGGGCGGAAUAUGACAUGUAGCGGUGAAAUGCUUAGAUAUGUCAUAGAACACCGAUAGCGAAGGCAGCUCACUAGGCCUGGAUUGACGCUCAGGGACGAAAGCGUGGGGAGCAAACA
This 422-nucleotide ribosomal RNA is filed under the name uncultured Fluviicola sp. RNAcentral's name for it is "bacterial SSU rRNA". It matches the Rfam family "Bacterial small subunit ribosomal RNA", at positions 355 to 774 of the family's 1533-position model. Lineage: Bacteria; Pseudomonadati; Bacteroidota; Flavobacteriia; Flavobacteriales; Crocinitomicaceae. The record is from RNAcentral.